This 570-nucleotide ribosomal RNA is filed under the name uncultured bacterium. Its description in RNAcentral is "partial 16S ribosomal RNA". It matches the Rfam family "Bacterial small subunit ribosomal RNA", at positions 354 to 1375 of the family's 1533-position model. The record is from RNAcentral.
UGGGGGAAUAUUGCACAAUGGGCGCAAGCCUGAUGCAGCAACGCCGCGUGAGGGAUGACGGCCUUCGGGUUGUAAACCUCUUUUAGCAGGGAGGAAGCGAAAGUGACGGUACCUGCAGAAAAAGCACCGGCUAACUACGUGCCAGCAGCCGCGGUAAUACGUAGGGUGCAAGCGUUGUCCGGAAUUAUUGGGCGUAAAGAGCUCGUAGGCGGUCUGUCGCGUCUGCUGUGAAGUCCCGAGGCUCAACCUCGGGCCUGCAGUGGGUACGGGCAGACUAGAGUGCGGUAGGGGAGAAUGGAACUCCUGGUGUAGCGGUGGAAUGCGCAGAUAUCAGGAAGAACACCGAUGGCGAAGGCAGUUCUCUGGGCCGUAACUGACGCUGAGGAGCGAAAGCGUGGGGAGCGAACAGGAUUAGAUACCCUGGUAGUCCACGCCGUAAACGUUGGGCGCUAGAUGUGGGGACCAUUCCACGGUUUCCGUGUCGCAGCUAACGCAUUAAGCGCCCCGCCUGGGGAGUACGGCCGCAAGGCUAAAACUUGAAAGGAAUUGACGGGGUCAUAGCUGUUUCCU